AAACUUUCAACAACGGAUCUCUAGGCUCUUGCAUCGAUGAAGAACGCAGUGAAAUGCGAUACGUAAUGUGAAUUGCAGAAUCUCGUGAAUCAUUGAAUCUUUGAACGCACAUUGCGCCCUAUGGUAUUCCAUAGGGCAUGCCUGUCUGAGCGUCAGCU
This 158-nucleotide ribosomal RNA is filed under the name Peziza sp. KH-00.020. Its description in RNAcentral is "5.8S ribosomal RNA". It matches the Rfam family "5.8S ribosomal RNA". From Rfam's summary of the family: 5.8S ribosomal RNA (5.8S rRNA) is a component of the large subunit of the eukaryotic ribosome. It is transcribed by RNA polymerase I as part of the 45S precursor that also contains 18S and 28S rRNA. Lineage: Eukaryota; Fungi; Ascomycota; Pezizomycetes; Pezizales; Pezizaceae. RNAcentral also lists the same sequence under 4 other names. The record is from RNAcentral.